UAACUCCAGAGAAUGAGUUUUGCUCGCGCAGAAAGGUACAACGUCACUGAGUUUUUGUAAGUAACAAAUCUCCAGCAGUGGUAUUUUGUGGACUAAGUCCUGAGACGGUUAUAACUGUCUGCAUGGGUUUUGAAGCAAAUGCCAUGGUCUAGAGCUGGCAGGUGGUUAACCAAAGGGAAUUUCAUUUUGCUAUGGCAAUAGGAAACCACAAAACAUGCAUCUUCCUCCAGGUCAUGCAGUGGGCAUUCAGAGAAAAAAUCCUGGGGGUGGAGGAUGUGGGGAAGAUGCUAAAAAUUCAAAUUUAUGUUGCUCUGGUCUAUUCAGAGAGACUAACAUAUCUCCCAGGUGGGUGGAGAGUGAUGUGCGGCACCACAGAUAUCUUGAAUUGAAUUGCUAUUCUGUCUUGUUUGCUAAAUCAAGAUGCAUUGUCAGAUUGUUCUUAAGUCUGCCUAUUGUAAAGGGCAUUUCUAAGUACUUUCACCAAAUGCUGUGCUCACCGGUGUGUGUGCUGUAAGUCAAUUACAAUGUCUCGCUCAAAAAGGUCCCUCUUAAAGAAAUUGAUAUAGAAAACUUGAGUUUUAGGCUACUGUGUAUUUGUGCUGGUGGUAGAUUGAGGUCCACUCUACCCCAAACACGUUUACUUCUCCUGAACAGACGAGCUGAAGGUGUCUUGCAAAUAAACAAAUCUAUUUGUUGAUCUUUCAGAUGUUUUAUAAUUCAUGGGAAUAAUUUAAGAGAAGAAAGCAGUGUAGAUAAAUGCCAGAAGCCAACUGUUUCUGUUUGCUUUGUACCAUAGGAAUAUCUAUCUAUUCAGGAUUUUGCUGCCUGGAUUGGCCUUUUUUGGUGCAUAUUCUGGGAAAAAUUGAGUAGGGGUAUCUGGAUCCACGAAGUGGCAUCUGAUCCCUGCCUUGAUAUCUUCAGGGAGCUCAGAACUCAGAUCUUAAAAUGGCAAAGGAUGUAGCAUUUCCUGGAAUGGCUCAUGACAGAUAUUCUUCCUCUGAGUACUAGUUUAGACUUACAGUGGGAGGAAAUCCCAGCAGAUAACAGGAAAAAAUAGUUUUGAUUUUAAGAAGAAAAGAGCUUAAAAGGAAACAGGAAGCUGAUGUUGGCAGUCUGACCUGUGCUGCAUGAGGAAUCUGAUUUCAAAAGCCUUCCCAAAUGCAGGCUUAAGGGAUGCAAACUGCCAUGACGUUUGCAGCAAUUGAGGAAUUCUGUCAUUGGCUCACACUGCUCUCUCUUUUAUAGGAAAGUGAAAGCAUAAGACUUAGUAUGUCACUGUUAUGUGCUUAUGCAUUCUUGAUCCUACAAAAACUGCAAAAAAAAAAAGACUAUGAAAAGGUCAGAGUCCACCAAGAAAUGCAGGUGUUCAGCAGAGCUCUGGAAGCGAAUAGGAGGAGGUCACCAGUGCUAUGGCUGAAGCUUUUCAUGAAUUUCCAUAGAAUCUUAAUGAGUUCUAAAGAACGUUGCUCUUAUUUCUGAAACCGUUCAUUUUGAUCUCUUUUAGAACUAAGAGGCUAGUAACAGAUAACUUAUUUGUACAGAGCCUUGUUUUGAAACAGCACAUUGAAAAAAAAAAAAUGAAACCUCAGUCUGCAGCACCUGACUUGGAUUUCUGAAGAACUCUGUCACCUUCCAUCCACUCUGGUGUGUCUGUGGAGUCACGUACUGGGGCUGAGGCAAACACAAUGUUGUGUUUCCUUCUGUUUCACCUGCUUUUACUCAUUGUUUUCUUGGAUUAUUUUUUCUGGCAUUUCUCCUGAGCGCUGCGAAGGUACAUGGAAAACAAACACGACUGCUGACAGUCAACAUGGCUUCACUAAUGGCAAAUUGCACCUGACAAAUUUGGUGGCCGCCUUUGACAGGGUGACAGCAUUGGGUAAGGGAAAAGCAGUGGAUGUUAUCCAGUUGGACCUGUGCAAAGUGUUUGAUGCUGUCCUGCAUGACAUCAUUGUCUUUAAAUUGGAGAGACGUGGAUUUGAUGCAUGGACCACUCAGUGGAUAAGGAAUUGACCAGAUGGUCACACUCAGAGUUGUGGUCCAAGUGGAGACCAGUGAUGAGUGGCAUUUCCUCAGGAGUCAGUAUUGGGACAGCCGCUGUUUAAUGUCUUUGCUGGCAAUGCGGAAAGUGAGAUUGAAUGUGGUCUCAGCAAGUUUGCCAACACUAAGCUGUGUGGUGCAGUUGACACACUGGAGGAAUGGCAUGCCUUCCAGAGAGACAUUAACUGAUUUGAGAAAUGCAUCCGUGUGAACCUCAUGAAGUUCAACAAGGGCAAGUGCAAGGUUCUACACCUGAGUCAAGAAACACCAAUCACAAAUGCAUGCUGGGCAGAGGUUAGGUCGAGAACAGCCCUGAAGAGAAGGAUGUACAUUUUCAGCUGAUGAGAAGAAGUAUGCUCUUUCAGCUUGAAAGGCCAACAGUAUCCUGGGCUGCAUCAAAAGAGGGUUGGCUAGCAGGGAGAGGGAGGGAGUUGUCCCCUUCUACUCUGCCCUCAUGAGACCCCAUCUGGAGUAUUGCCUCCAGGCCUGGGGCCUCCAGCACAAGAAGGAUAUGGAGCUGUUUGGGUGGGUCUGGAGGAAGGCUAAAAAGUCUCCACAGGAGAGGUGCUCCAGUCAACAGGCUGAGAGAGCUGAACUUGUUCAGUCUAGAAAAGAGAAGUCACAGGGAGUGUACUUUUUUUCCCACUCCUAUUGUUUUGUGUUAGUCACCAGUGUUGAUUAAAGCCCAAUCCAAAUUCGAGUUAUUAAGAUAACUCCACUGCCGGAGUGUCGAGAAAAAGGAAGGUGAAAACUGAUAGGAGGGUGCUACAGCUGAAUCUGACUCUGCAUGUACAGUAGCUGUCCAUAUAUCUGCUCACCAAAGGUGCCUUGAGCAAGGGCCAAGAGAAAAGAAAUGAAAGGCUCAGCCUAGGUAGGUAGAGAAGGAAAGAGGGGGCUGCAAAGAGGAGCAGAAUAGCUGUCAGAAGGGAUUCAGCUUCUUGAAACGUGCAUCAGAGGAAUGACGUAGGUCUGCACAGCUGGAGGCUGGGGAAAGUUGGAAGAGCAACCUUCCCUGUCUUUUAUCAGUUCAGGCAAAUAAGGAAGUUAAUUUGCUGGAGGUCCUGAGUAGUACGUGGUGAUACAAAAUGUUCCUCUGUAUUUUAUAUGAGUUUGAGGAAGCACAGCUUCCCAGCUCUUAGGUAGGCACUUUGCAGAAUGUGGAACCAAGUCAUUUCCAAAUUGCAGUGUUUAAGGAAGCAAUUAAAACAGGGUUAGAUAUUUGAAAUAACUAAAAAUGCCAGGACUGGAGAUACUUGUGAGGUUUUGUAAAGUUAGUUUCAUCUUGGAGAAGGCUGACCGAGAAGAACAAAAAUAUUUAUUGAAGCUUAACCUCAGUUAAACUGUUGGCUCUUCCAGGAGAGAAGCUGAAAGAAAACUCAUCUGAACCAGGGAGUCGGGAGAGCCACGCUGACGUUCCUUCCUGUGCCUAUCAGUGUUGAUGAGUUCAGGACUGAAUCAAAAGGCAUCCCUGAGCUACCUGCUGGCCACAGUAGUGCCCUACAGCAGAAAAGGUUUAUGCCUUGACACCAGAUGCAAACAGGCACGUGUGCUCUCCCCAGACACGUGCUGUUGUGUUAACUUGCAUAUGUGGAUUUGGACGAUGCGUUGUGGGCAGUGCUGUGAGCAAGCAUGGGAGGCAGUGCAUGGCCUGGCUUGCUUCAAGUUUGGUACAGGAGUGCUGCGUGUUGCAUGCUGUGUGUGAGAAGGGUGGGGUAGCUGCAAGGAGCUGCUGUGCUUGGUGUCAAGUGAAAUGGAGGGAGGGAUUUCUCCAUCCCAGGGAGUGCCUGAACUGGGCUUGGAGACGCUCCUGCAGAGCAUAGCAGGGCUGCCAGCUGGCAUGGGGCUUCACAAUCCUCCUGGAGGAGGGACCAUAGGUCCGCAGCCCAAGGCCCAGCAAUGGCAGGAAGGUGAAAGUUUUCCUGGGAAGACUGCAAGGAGUUUUCCAAUUGGGAAAGCUGAUGAAAUUUGCUGGGCUGGAAGGAGACUAUAGCUUCCAUGCCUUCUGCAAGGGUACAGCCUGGCUUUCCUCAGUCUUCUGACCUGUUGCCAUAGUUCCUAAUCUUUUCCUUAGAAACUCCUUUGUUCUUUUGCCUGUUUUCCCCAUGUUUUUCUUGAUAUAGAGGUUUCAAACCACAGUGCAGCUGUACUUUGCUAAUGCUAUGUAGCACAGAGGGGUUUCUUCACAUCAAGCUGACAAAGCUCCUGUUUUCUGCAGUUUGAUGUCUGACUUAUUUACAGCAAUCUGUGACUCAUUCCAGCCUCUGAGCUGCUCCGUGGAAUUGCCCUGUUAAUGAUUCCUUGUCCUGUGUUUAUGCAAUUUAUCAGUCCUGAAAUUACCUAACAUUGCAGCGUCCUUGCUGAAUUGUCUGUGUUUUCCAAACCAGCUGUCCAGUUUGCCAAAGCUGUUCUGAUUUGUCAGCUGUGUGCUAACACCUUUUAGCUUGAAUCUGCAUGUGAAUUUUAAUAUGUCUGACCUACCUCUAUUGGUUAUAAUGGGAAUAUUUGUGUAUUUGAUCCAGGACCAAUCUUUCAGUCACCUAGAUGAUAUAUUCUUCAACUGAUUGGUUUUUGCACACUUUGAAGUAAUACUUUUCUCAGUUGACUUAUGGUAAAUGCUAUGUCAAAAGGGCAUUGACACUCAGUCUCACGAUUCUGUGAUUCUAUGAUAUCUGUUCUUUUUCCUGUCCCCAGGAGCUGCUAUUCUGUAAAAGGAGGAAUCUAUCAGUUUGACCAUGAGUAGCAGCCAGCACGGAUUUGUCAAGAAUAAACCACUUCCUUGCUGUCAGGUAGGAACUUGAUUUCAUAUGCUUGCUCUUUUCUGGAGGUGAGGGAUUUGAAGUUAGACUAUUUUUUUCUUUGUUUUAAAGAUGUUUGUCUUUUUUGGUCUUCUGGAGUUUCAUCUGUCCUCCAUCACUUCCCAAACAAGACCACAUAUGUUUGAGAAUUCAAAACAUUUAACCAACUUCUCAUAUGUGCUUUGGUGAUGAAUGGUAGCAGCACAGCCAUUUGGAAAAACUAAUUUAUCCCAAGACUCCCUGGUUUAAACUCAUGCUCCUCCAUUGUCACUCUCACUUGUUGUUUAAGUGCUGUUAACAGCUCACACCUGCAAAGGAGGCAGAGUUGUUGUACACUUGUUGUAUUAGGUAUCAGUACUUUCCUCUUGGUUAGAGUCCAGCUUCUUCCUUUGUAUUCCUCUUUCAGUUUAAUCCUGAAUGUAAUAUGCACCCAAAUGAGAUUCAAAUGAACACACAAAAGAUCAGUACAAUUAUAUAUGUCUGUCAUGUUACUCAUGUUACUCAUGUUACAUGAACUCAGCAGUUCAGUAACAUUGGUGCUGAGCAACACCCUUCCUUCCUUCACUGUAAGUAUCAGCACUUCAGAUCUUGGAUUAGAAAACAAUGGCAGUUGUAGUUUCUGAGUUAGACAAAGAUCAGCAUCACCGGGUCACCUCCGUGCACUCGGGCUGCAAGGCCGUGUUCAUGAUGCACUUGCAAACUCAUGUGAGAGUUUCCAGUGUGACUGCUUGGUCUUAGUCAACGCUGCUAUUUCCUCACCUUGAUGAACAAAGGAGUCACAUCAAGAUCUUAAUACCGAGGGAGGGAAUACUCCAAAAACUGACAACAAGUGUAAGGGAUUUUUGUUAUCACCCACUGGUUUGCACAUGAUCUGGUGUGAUUCAUAGUCUUCACAAAGUGGGAGAGCAACGACGAAGAGAAGGACAAUUUUAGAAAGAUCAUCCAAUAGAGUAGUGAGGAAAUCAGACACAACAAACAAAUGGAAAUAGUUGCAGUACCCCAGGCUUACCAUAACACCUUCAUAAGCUGCAAAAAAAAAAUCCCAGAAGCUACAGAUUGUGAAGUCAGAAAAUAAAGGAUAACUGAUUUAAAAAAAAAAAAAAAUGCACUAAGGACAGAUCUAUGAAAACAUCCUGUCGGGGUUUUACCUUACUGUAAUUUGGGGAUGCAAGUUAUCAGAUAGGUACCCGCCUUGGACCUCAAAGGGUUUCAAGGCUCUCUCUUUGAACCAGUCUGUUAGCUGGGAUUUCUAAACAGGUCUAUGCAUUGAGGGAUUUAUUUAGUGUCCAAACAAAAAACAGUGGAGGAUUUAUUUUUCUCUUCACUGUCCAGCCCUGCCAGCAAUGGGCAGCGUUGUGAUGCUUACAAGCACUUGAAGUAGUGUUAGUCUUGGAAACUGUGCCAAAGAAGCCAUUUUUUCUGAUUGUUAAGCACUGACUCCUUUCAUAACUGUAAUUUUGGGGUUCUGUUUCAGCUGAGGUUUUAGAUAUCUCUUCUGUAUGUCCAUAGUAUGUAUAUUUAUUUGUAGAUCUCUAAUGUUGUGUGUGGCAGUUGAAUGAAUGAAUCUCUCUCAGGAUGAGGUCUGGGUAAAGGAGAGAAAUAGGUCUGUUACUUGUUUUCUUUAAAGCAUAACAAUUCACUGAAAUCAGCAGGUGCUUCAUUUUAUUUUGUUUUGUGCUUUGUUGUUGUUUGGAUAUUCUUGCUUAAAUGUGGUCCAGACAAAUCAUAGACUCAUAGAAUCGCUAAGGUUGGAAAAGACCCACAGGAUCAUCCAGUCCAACCAUUCGCCCUUCACCAAUGGUUCUCACUAAGCCAUGUCCCUCAACACAACAUCCAAACGCUCUUUGAACACCACCAGGGUCGGUGACUCCACCACCUCUCUGGGCAGCCCAUUCCAGUGACGGUCAAAACCAAGCUGGCUGCAGCCCUAGGGGCGACCUGCUGUAGAUGAGCCUGCUUUGGCAUGGGGCUGGAUUUAAACCAUCUGCAGAGCUUCCUUCCAACCUUCCUUCUUUCUGCCCAACUAUUCAGUGGUUUUUGCAACCUUGCCAUGGAUUGUGACAGUCAUAAAUUUGAUUUUUAAAAAAGGAUUUGUGCUCAGGCCUGCUGUCUUCAUUCAGAAGUUCCAGCAAUAUUCCUUCUGUCUUUCCCUUCAGUGCUGGCUCUGUGCCACUGACCUUUUCUGUGAAGUUUAAUUCCUAUCGUUCUCUGUUCAUGCAACAGAUUUUUCCGUUAUUAAUUUAAGGAAUGCCUGAAAAUGAUUCCACUGCUUGGUUCCUUAAAAAUAAUCUGAAAAAAAAAAAAAAAAAAUCUUUGCAGUCAGCCUAGCUUUCCACAUCGGUGAACUUCUGUAACCUUUCGGUGUGUUUAUAUUACCCUCUUUUAUGUUUGACCUCUCACUUGCAAAGAGCUGGAGUGGAAAUCCUGGGUUCCAGACAUGAGUACAAGUUGCCAUCUUCUGAACCCACGCUCUGUGGCUCUUUCUUCACAGAGAUUCUGGCUUUCCAGCAAAAGGAGCCUGAACUGCUUACGCUGGCAGCUGAGCUUGUUAACUGCCUCAGCUCUGAGCCUCUUGUAUAGAUCAGACUGUUCUUCAUUCUUAAGUAAUAGCAUUGUUAAUUGGAGUAGUUGCAGCUGUACAAGCAACAGUGGAACUACAGGUUGUGCUGGCGUGGUGCACUGAAGGGCUGUCACAAGUGGCUCUCUGAACUCCUCACUGGUUGAGCUUUUGCUUUUCAAAGCAACACCUAUUUGGAAAUAUGGGUUAAUGAAAUGUUGAUGUGGAGCAGCAGCUUCUGAACUUUCCUGUUCAAGGAAAGCAAGGAAUGGGAUGGUGUUGGGCAUGCUAGAGAUGUUCUUGUUCUGUACUGGGGAUUUUCAAUCGGCAUAGCUUUCAAAGCUUCUCAAUAUACUUAAAAGUUGCUCUGCACAGAACGAUCAUUGUAGUCAUUCAAGCACAUAACCCCAAACAUUGGCGUGGCCUUAAACAGUAGUGGUGCAUUAGGCUUCAGAAAUUGUCUCUUCAAACUGGGCACGUGGAAUCCGCAACUGCCUGAAGGUGCAGGUGGAUGUGACUGCUUGCUGGUAGUCACAAAAGCCAACUGGGAUGGCUCGGGUGCAGAACCACAUCUCACAGCUUGCUUGUUCAGUGUCAGCUGCGGGGAGGAAAAACAUAGCUUGCUUGAGACCUGUGGGAAGAGGAGCCCCAGCAGAGCCUGUAGCUUCACUCUGUGAAGUGGCUACAGAAGUGGCACAAAACUCAAGCUUUUGGCAUGCUCAGGAAAGCUCAGAGGACUUUCUCAGUCAAAUCAUAGGGGUGUUUCCCUGAAAAUGCAUCAAAGUAGUUGCAGUAUUUGCACAAAGCUUGUUCUGAUUUGUGUUAGCAUACCCUCUAUGAGAAAUGCUAACUUGUGUUUUGCCAAGAAGCUCAGUGCUCAAAUGAAUCACAGCCAUGUGUUUUCCUUGAGUUGAAAGCUGCACAGUACAGGAGGAAAGUGGAAUUUGACUUUCCAAGUCCAGUCAAACAUUAACCACUUACUAUGAAGCCUUACAGCAGCAUUAACACCAGCUUGAAGGCCGACUGCUCCAAGAUGCAGAAGAAUCACUCUAAGUACACAAACCUAGCUUCUUAUUUAUGGGGAUCCUUUUCUCUAGGUGCUGGGGGCAUUAUGUUCCCCUUUGAUUAGGGAAGAAACUUCCCUAUUAGAAGAAGCUAUUGUCUAUUCUGAGUAUUUGUUUUUAAACUAUUGCAGCAAAAUAGAAAUACUUGCAAGUACUCUCAGUGCAAGUGAAUCUCUGCAUGGAUUCACUCCAAAGCUGACUGCAAGCAGGGGGAAAAAAAGCAGCAGUCAGCCUGAGAGCUGGUUUUACUGCUUAAGUAUUUCUCAACCUUAUUGCUGCACUGUGUGCAACAACUGAUAUUAGUGCAUGCAAGGGUAGAGCAGAGACAAUAGGGAGUGUGUCCCCACACUGUUUUGCAACACUGCACUUUUGAAGUUCCUCGGCUGUGCUAAGAGGAUGUGGUUAUUCAGUUUUGCUGCUGUUUCAGGAAGGACGGAGCUCCAGUAAACUUUCCCUGAAAGAGUCACCUGGAAACCACAGAGAUAAAACUACCUGAGAAGGAGAUGCCACCAGUGGGAGAUGGGAACAUAGGGCCAGAUGAGCACAAAUCCUGAGUUCAGGGGAAUGAUGAGACCAAUGAAAUGCCCCCCUGCAUGGGAGCACUGCACAGCACAUGCUAUUUUUGCCCUGAAUGGUUAUUCUUAGGAGCUGAAGCCUUUGACAUUCUGUGGGAGGGGACACAUCACCGUGCGAAGGGUAUGUAAGUGCAACACAACAAAGCCUCAAGAGUUCACAAAAUCAGUUGCCAGUCAUUCUUGGGGUGGCGGUGGCUGUGCUAAUCAAUUUUUUCCACUGCAUGCUGUGCCUUCCCAGGAGCUGCCACUGUGCAGCAAGUUUAGGGGAUUCCACGUCUGGUUAUCAAAGGAUGGAUCUUGUGUGGGAGGGGAAAGCCUGCCUGCACCCCACGCUGGCUCCUCAUGUCAGCCACAGAGAUUCAUCUAAAAAGAUGACUUAGUGUGCAGAGCUGCCUUUAAAGCAGCGUGCUGUGGUCUCACUGCCUUGUCUCAGUGUCACCUGCUUGUCUUGCUGUCUCUUUCAAGCAGUCUUCGCCAUAUUCUCCUUCUCAGACUGGCUUCGCUCUAUGGCAUUGCAGGCAGUGGGUGUUGCAGAGCUGUCCUCUCUGCAGAGAUGAAUUCCUGCUUUGCACAUAGUAGUUUUCAGGUGUCAGAGGAUGCCUAAUAUUCUCAGUACAACACCUGGAACAGUUUUAGAAUCUCUCUUCCAGUGACAGAAGACUGGCACUGAGGAGAUGAAAAACUAAAGACUAAAUUCCUUUCUUGUCUUUGCACAGGCUCCAGACUUGUGCACAUGCAUGCCUCUUACCUGAUUUCAUGUCAUUGCAUUCCUCUUUCCCUCCUCUAUAAUGCUAUGUUGCUUUCAUUUUCAUCUCAUCACCUGCUCUUCAGAGGGCUGUUUUUCAUUUCUGAUGUUAGGCCUCAUCUCACAGUUACAGGUGCUAUGUGCUGCAGCUUCCUGUCUGGGACACUGAUCGGUGCUGCUCUUCUGGGUCGUGCUUGCUCUCUCAGGAGGCCACAACCCAUGUUAACAGGGUUUCCACAUGCUCUGGCCUCUUGUGCUUCUUCGCCUCACAAUCUGCUCACCCAGCCAAGAGCAUCCUGAACAAAUGAAUGCUGGUAACUGGAGGGUUAUUGUUAUUGUUCUAAGAGCAAUUAAGAGUACUAGAGUUGGUCACUGAGUUUGUGCAUCUACAGGUGGCACGUUCCUGCUGGUAAGGUUCAACACUACUCCAGCAUAGGGCUCAGACUAGGGCUGUUCUUGCUAGAGGGAAGGGAGGCCCUCUAUCAGGGCAGCCAGGUCCAAAGAUCACCGUCCCUCUCUGGGGGUGUCUGGUUGUCACCUGUGAGUCACUGCAGAGGGUGGCACUUAGGAAAGCUCUGUCUUUGCCACUUGGUGAGGCACAACCAGGCCUUGCAGGAGGUGGAGUUGGGUACACCAUGCUGAGAGCCAUCAAACCAGAUCUGCACUUGUGGUCUUGUGCCCUGCCUAGUUUUCCUGUCUCUUGGUAGCUGAUGUUCAAUUGUCCAUGGGCAUGCCUGUGUGGAUGCCCAAUCUUCUUUCAGAAGUGAUGGUGGGGGUGAGGGCUGUGGGUGGCUGAGCUCCUUUCUUCACUUGUUCCCCUCUCUUAUGUGCUUCAGUGCCUUGCUCCAAGGAGAUGUGGAGCAGGUGAGAGGGGCUCAGCUGUGUCCCGAGGGAGGUGAAGGCCCUGCCCUGUAGUGUGGCCUCGCUUUGUGAGUGUCACCUUGCUUCUCUGGGCUGGGACCCAGGUGGCUGGUGCAGAUGGCUGCUGUGGAGUGAGCUGCAGCUGGCCCUGACUGGGGAGGGCUGUGGGGGCACAGCUGGAGCCAGGCACGGGCUGAUCCCUCACCCAUGAGGAGACUCGGUGGGGCUGAUGCAGGGUUCAUAACACGUGUGCUCCGCCUUGUGAAAGCUGCCUAUGAUAUGUGCAUAUAGCCAAGAUGGUAAGGUGCCUCUUGGAGGGGGGAGGAGAUACUUUUUGUGUCGUUACAGAUUUAGCAAAGAGAUCGGAUGCGUUGGUGUGGCACUGAGUGGGUGGGUGACAGCACGAACAGUCAGCGCCGUCCUGCUCGCUGCUCGGCCUGGUCCCCAGGUUGGUGCUGGGGACUGGCCUGGGGAACAACUGCCUUUAAGCCAAUCGUGUGCUUCUAACACUGUGUUUUUGUUGGUUUGUUUUUUAGUGCCUUCUAGAAAUAAGCUUUCUCAUAACCCCACCACUGGUCCAGUGCUGUCUGUGCUGUGCUGUGGUAAUACCACAAGCUCCUGAAGGAGGUCAGCAGCCAUUAUAGACACCGGACAACUAGCACAUGUCAUGAAAGGUUCUUCCCCCAAUGGCUUCUCACCCAUAAAUGUUAAAAGAGGAGGUAAAAGUGUGUGUAAGAAUGAGAAAAGGAGAGACCACACUGAAUGGCAGCAGGAGCAGAGGUACACCAGUGUGCACAGAGCCAUUUUGAACAUCGGUGCCUUCAACAUCCACCGGAGGAGCAGCCUCAGAAGCUCUUCUGACCUUCCUGGAGCUCUGACGCCCCAGGCAGUGUGUGCUUAGAAAGCUGCAGUGAGUGAGCUCGGCUGGUACUGCCCUUAGCCGGGGAUGUGAGGUGCAAGGUGAGAAGUCAGAGCACACAGCAGCAGUGAGAGCUGCUUAACCGGGUAUCGCUCUGCUUUGCUGCUUUGACCUAAUAAUGUGUAGGCAUUUCUCAUGCUUUAGAUUUUUAGCUGAGACUCACGGGCUGAUUGCUACUGGAGCAUGCUACUAAGAAAUUUUACUACAACGUGCUUUGAAUUCACAUUGAUUUUAUAGAAAAAGAAUUUGAGACUUCUCUUUUUUUUAGAAUGAGAAGCGCUGCUGUUCUGAGUACGAUGGUGUGGCAUGCUGUUUGGAAUUUCCCUUGCUUUCUAUAUAUACACAUGCAGCAAAGCCACAGGAAAUAGAAGUUAAAAAAACAGCCAUAGAACAUAGGUAUCUUCUUGAACAAAUUUUAUUCUUGUCAUUGGUUUUAUCAUUAGUGAGCACUUAAUCUUGAGGCAUCGCUUAAGGCUUGCUUUAAAAGAUCUGAUGCCCUAUAAAUCAUUUGAGGGAGAAACACAUUGCCUUAAAGUUGCUGAAAAAUGAGAGGAUUUUUAGGCUCUUGGUUCUGUAGUUCUGUACUUGCUGUGCUGCAGAAGACAACUUCAUUGUUGAUCUCUCUCUCUUGGGGCUUUUGGGGUGGGGACUCACUGCUGAGGCUUCUCCCAGUUGUCUCUUCUGUGAUUCAGUGAGUCACUCUUGCCUACAGCUGCUGUCAUGAUGAUGUGCUAAGGGCCUAUUUCUGCAUGGCAGCCGGCAUAGUCCGGCAUUAUAAGUAAGCAGCAUUUACUUUAAAAUCCCAUCCAAAAUAUGGUAUUGUUAAAUCCAGCAGCCAUGAAAACUAACUUGCCAGCACUCAGACUGAAUCUGCGAUCUGAAAACACUGUUAGUGAGAGAGCUGCUGAGGAGCCCUGAGCCAAUCCUGGCUCUGAACCUGUGCUGCUUUGGAGAGCAAAACUUGAGGAGGGCGAUUCUAAAAAGGGAGCGAUUCUAGGAGAAGGGAUGGACUAAAUCAUGAAGGUAGUUGCACAAAUACACCCAGGCAUCUCUGAAUGUGUGGUAGCACAUUCAUACAAAGCCUAGAGGAGACAGUUACCUGUCUCCUUCCAGACUCCACGGACCUACAGGGGUACAUCUGCCUGCCUUUUAGUACUGUUCUGCCUCUCGAGUGAGGGUACUGCUCAUCAGUGCCGAGAGACUGACAGAACUCAGAAUGGGCCUGAUAAUGGGGUUUGGUUACGUUGGAUGCCUUUGGCAACUGAUGCAGCAAAUAAGGAACUGAGUCCCAUAUGGUCACACAGACUUUCUGCAUGGUUUCAAGAGUCUAUGCGAUUUUACAGAUGUGUUUUCAGCGAACAUAUGUCGUACAAAUGGCUAAUGAAAGUUCAUAAAGUUUAUGCUGUUCAAGUUGCUUUCAUUUUACGCAGUUCCUUUCUUACUCAUGCACCGUCAUUGCUUUCUUUUGGGAAAGAAGCUGCGUUGCUUUCACCAUUUGACCAAACAAGAUGCACACUACACAGACAGCAGUCCAAGUGGCAGAGAAAAAACUGCGUGAGGCCAAAGGAGCUUUCCUUAAUGUGAAGGGCACAAAAAUCGUGGGUGUUCACAGCUGCUUUUACCUCAGUGUUGGGGCAGUGGAGCUGACAGUUCUUAUAUAUUCCAGCCUACAGCUUCACUGUGAAUGUGGGCAUUGGUUGGAAUUGCUUGGGUAGUACUGAUGUGUGUGCUAUGCUGGCUGAGGAGAGGGCAAAGCACUGGGUAACAGCUUUUUUAGGACAGACAGCGUGUGCCUUAUAAUCUAAGUCAAACAGUUGUAGAAGAUGCUGGUAGUUUAGUUUUGCAGUAUCUAAUUGGUUUCUUGGUUAGCACAAAGACAGAGAAAUAGGUAAGGUUCUUUUUACUAGAGUUGGGGGAAAAUAGGAAGUAGUAAAAUAGCCCCAAAGCUGAGGGAUUUUUAUGCUGGGAGGUAGCAGAUCUAUCCUGGAUUUUUGAUGCUGAUAUUCAAACUUCAGUCUUUUAUCACGUCGCUUUAGGUUGUAAGAGACUUGCUGUAAGCUAUGCUUCAUCUAUACCUUCAUCAGCUUGUAUUUGCUGGGCCUCUUUGUAGGUAUAUCCAGUUUCCCAGCAUUCAUUUCACCUGAAUCCUCCUUUUCCAGGAUUUGCAUUCCAACCUUCAGCUUUGACAGGGAGGGAACUAAUUUACAGCACUUGGAACAAGGAGAAUAUCGAGGAUAUCUUCUGGUGAUGUCUGUACUGCAGCUUCCUGUAUCUAAUUCUUCCAUCCAUAUCUACUAGUUGCAGUUCAGUCUGUCCAGCUAUACCCAGAGGGCAGUAUUAAUGUACUUUAAAACCGUAAGUGAGACGCUAGGCAAAAGAAAUAAACUAACCAUUGAGAGAUGAGCUUAUGCCACAGGAAGUUUAAUCAUAUUUUUCUCAGCAUAUAUUCUGUGUGCUCCAUCUGAUCUCUAAGACCUUAAAAGGCAAUGUUUAAAAUGGUCACCGUGAAGAAAAAAAAAAAAAGAAGAAUCUCUGCAUGUUUGUGUGUGCUGUGAUGGGAAAAAUCAAACUAGCACUCACAGGCUUACAAUUAGUUAAAGAGCAGAUCAGUAAUGAGAACACUGCACCUGCACACUGCAUGGGACAGUCCAUGCAUCUUUUUCUGGUAAUAGCCCAGGUAAGGCCAUACUGGCAGAAAUCAUCAUCUUCCUUUGGGCUGUAAAAGAAUUGUGGAAAAAGCAGACUUAAGACUUGCUUAGAGAAGAUCGUUCUGUCUUUAACUAUUCAUUGCAGAAUUCCUUGCAUGUCUUGCUCAAGGAUUGGCUCCAGGCCACGAGAUGGACUACUGCUGUCCCAAGGAAGGGAAAUUUCUUUCCCUCUCAUCCAAGGAGAGCAGCUUUCCCUCUGUGUAGUUGUAGUUCUUCCAGCUGUUCCAUAACCAUCCAGAUGUUAAUCAUACGGACAGCAAUACGGCGGUGCUUUAUUAUGUAUGCUGGGGAAAGAGGAGCGUACCAUUGCCUCUCAUGCUUUGUGAACCUGGACCACAGCGAAGAACACUUUGUUCACUUAUAUUAUGUUGAAACUACUUGGAAACAGGGAGAGGAAAACUGAUGAAGAUUCAGUGCUGCACUGGAAAAUAAACAAGAGACUGGACUUAAUUCCUAGCAAGGUGCUGUUCAGCAGGAGAAAACUCUUCUGUGUGGGAGAUCAAGGGAUAGUUGAUGCUGUAGGAAAUCCUAGCUAUUACUGGAAGUGGGGGGGGGGGGGGGGGGG
This is a long non-coding RNA of Gallus gallus (chicken), 14826 nucleotides long. RefSeq lists it as uncharacterized. NCBI's taxonomy places the organism in Eukaryota, Metazoa, Chordata, Aves, Galliformes, Phasianidae. The record is from RefSeq and is a predicted model, not a curated record. The transcript is spliced from 3 exons.